UAAAUAAUAACCAGUCAUGAAUGGCCUAGUGGAGAAAGAGUAGUUUCAUAGUCUUGAGUGGGGUGGGUUCAAUACUCAUACGUAGCAUUUUUUUAGUAUUUUAUUUUCUUUUAGCAUUUUAUUUUCUUUUGGCAUUUUAUUUUAUGUUAUGUUUUUAUUAUACUCAUGGUUGAUCUGCUUUCUUUUAACUUCAUCAUUCAUUCAAAACCAUUUUAAAACUAUAAAAAUCAUAUUUUUUCUCGAUUCAAUGUCGAGCCCAUUUUCACACCCUUGUAAGUCGAUUGCUUUUUAAGCAUCGCCAUCAACCUCACAUAGCUUACUCUUGGGCUUUCUUACAAUGAGCCGGUUCUCUUGCACUUACACUCAUAUUUCGCAUCAUUUGUUGUUUGGGCCUGAUCUAAUUACUUUAUGAUUUUGAAUCCCC
This 424-nucleotide long non-coding RNA is filed under the name Lathyrus oleraceus (garden pea). Its description in RNAcentral is "Pisum sativum (pea) long non-coding RNA (PSAT_LNC015754)". Lineage: Eukaryota; Viridiplantae; Streptophyta; Magnoliopsida; Fabales; Fabaceae. The record is from RNAcentral.